UUAAUAUUAUAUUUUUUUUUAUUCAUAGGGGAAACGAAAUCUAUGUAUGGAGUUUAUAGAUUUAUUUUGGGAAAUUUGUGGGCAUUAUUACAUAAAUAUAUGUAUGAAUAAGAAAGGUAGAAAUAAAUCAAUACAAUAGGUCUAUAUGUUCCUUAUGCAUUGUAUUUAUUAUUCAUACAACUAAUCACAUUUAUUACACCACAAUACACAACGAUACACUUAAUAAUUUAAUCGAAUCUAAAUCGUAAUCGUGGUACAACAGUAAUCGAUUAAUAAUGUAGAGGUAUAAAUAGCACACUUACUGUGAUAUCGUGUAUAUUCUACGAUAUACAUACAACUGGUCAAGAAUUUCGUAAAAUCUCGGACCUGUAAUCGGUAUUCUUCCAUCUACAAUACUAUCGCGCGAAUCAUUCUUAACUAAACGGUGCAGUUUUUGCUUUUAACACGCUCGAAGGAAAUUGAACAACGGAACUAACAAUAAGAUCAUCUUACUUCUAGAUAUGCUGUAAUUAUUUUGUGUAAUGACACCGAAUGAUCGUUAGUUCUCAACUGUUAAUUUUUUGCAAUCUGCCUUACAAAUAUAUCUAUAUAUGUAUGUAUAUAAAGAACAAAUUUUUGUUAUCAAUCGAUGUUGCAUCUUUAUAAAAACGUCUUAAUAAACCUAAUUAUUUGUUGCUACGAAAUAGUUACGCGAAGUAUUAAAUCAUCUUAACGUGUAAGGAUAGUUUUCAGAAUGCAAAAAAUCAAGGUGUUACAUCAUUCUAAUUUCUAAGUCUCUUAUAAAAGGAUUGGAAGAUGCGUUCAAAUCAUUUUGAAGUGAUAGAACAGAAUUAAAUAUGCGUUUAUACUAUGCCUCGUAAUAUUACAAAAUUCGAUCGGCCGUGACAUCUUUAGCAAUUUGAUCGAGAUAUUAUAAUAAGCCACAUCGAUCGAUCGAUCUUCCUUGUAAUGUAAUACAUCAUCCUGUACGUAUAUCCUUUCUUUCUAACACUCAAAUAUAUGUACUAAUUUCGUGAAUAGCUGAUAUAUUCUUUACUUAUACUAAAGCUAUUUUACGUUGGUACAUUUUAUACACGUAAUUAUAGCAUAGGCGACGGAAACAGUGAAUCUUCGAAAUAACGUCUCGCGAACAAUGAGAUUACAAUAAUUAAAAUAUGAUUCUCUUACAAAAAUUCUCUUGCCGUUGAUGUCGAACAGUGUUAUUUCAAUCGAAUAUUAUUAGUCGUGUUCAUUACUUUAAUUUUUAUUUACGUGACUCUUUUUUAGUUUUUUUUUUUUAUAAUAGAAAUCAUAAAUUUAGGAGAAUAAUCCAGUUUCUUUCAGAUAUACUUAUAAUAUUUAUUAAGGAAAACAAAUAGAAAACAUUUUUUUUCGUUUAUGAUACUUUCUAUCAGAAUGAAAAUACAUUUUAAGCGAUUAAGUAAUUAAAAAACAAAUGAUUAGAAAAAUAUUUCUCUACCUAUCAAACCUCGUAAAAAGGGUCACAUAAACGAAGAUUAGAGUACGUAUAUCAUCUUACGUCGGUUUUAUAUAAGUUCGCUAUUACGAUCACAUGAACACAUGCAGCGUUCGGUAUUUAUUCAUAUCGUAAGUACAUUGAUGCAUCGUUGAUUUUGAUAUAUAAAACGAUGCUUAAUCAUUCUUCAAUCGAGGAGGCAAGAUAUUGUUAUUACAAAUCAGAAUUAUUUUCGCAAAUUUUUUAAAUUGAUAUUUUAUUCUAAAUUAUGCUACGGAUGUUUUGCUUCGAUUGGUUUUAAUAAUAACUAAUGAAGAAUUUCUCUCUAAUAUUUUUGAAGUAAAUUUUCUUUUUACGUUUUUUACCCGUGAAUAUUAUAAACUAAUCAAAGUUGAUUGACCGAUAGAGAUCUUUUGUAAAGAGAAUUUUCACGAUUUGAAAUAGAAAACGCUAACAAGUAUUGAAAUAAACAAGUACAUACAGAAUGUCUUAAAAGUAAUACAUAUAUUGUAUUCACUAUCAAAAUUUCAAUUUUGAUGUGCAUGACAAUAAAAAUGCAUAGAAAUGCUUGGUAAAAUAAAUUUUGCUAAACAUUAAGCUUGCAAUUAAUUGAAAAGUUGUUAAUUAGGCAAAACUUUUAGUUUCGAAUUUAAGAAAGGAUGAAUAUCCAGCACCCUAUAUACAUGUAGCUAAUAUAAAUAAAAUCAUAGUUUAGGAAACGAUUGAAAAUAUUUGUUGUUUAUUUGAAAGAUGUUGAUAAGAAAAUUAAUUGUCGAAUAUUACAAAUAAAUUUUUUCGAUAUAGCUGAUUUAAAAAACUUUUAAGGGAAAUUAUAAGAUGUACGUGCCUGUCACUGUUAGGAACUUAUUUGUUAAGCAGGACAAUUAUCAUAAAUCAUUUUAUUUAAUGUACCUGUAUAUGUGAAUGUUGUUAUAAUUAAUUCCACUUAACGAUAAAGUUUUCCAUUUCAUUUGUAAAGUUUCCACAGUUGGGUUAUUUUUUAUUGUCGAAGUAUACACGAAUAACAUGCAGGGAAAACAAGUUUUAAAAUUCGGAAGAACAAUUGAUUAUGUUCAUGUUAUGUAAAAUUAUAAAAGGAAAUUUCUCAUUACUAAUAUA
Long non-coding RNA from Bombus huntii, 2575 nucleotides. RefSeq lists it as uncharacterized. The transcript has 2 exons. The record is from RefSeq and is a predicted model, not a curated record. Lineage: Eukaryota; Metazoa; Arthropoda; Insecta; Hymenoptera; Apidae.